Non-coding RNA from Schistosoma haematobium, 45 nucleotides. Lineage: Eukaryota; Metazoa; Platyhelminthes; Trematoda; Strigeidida; Schistosomatidae. The record is from Rfam.
AUCCAGUUGACGAGUCUUGAAUAGGACGAAACGCGCGUCCUGGAC